CAUUAAAYCAAKUUAUAGUUUAUUUGADRGUUCCUACUACRUUGGAUAACCGUGGUAAUUCUAGAGCUAAUACAUGCGACAAAACCCGACUUCUGGRAGGGUUGUAUUUAUUAAAUACAAARCCMACUYCAUUGGUGAUUCAAAAUAACGKUUACUGAACCUCAWGGCCUUGCGCCGGAGGUAAAUCAUUCAAAUUUCUGCCCUAWCAACUUUCSAUGGUAAGGUAUUGGCUUACCAUGGUUACAMCMGGYAACGGGGAAUUAGGGUUCGAUUCCGGAGAGGGGGCCUGAGAAAUGGCCACCACUUCCAAGGAAGGCAGCAKGCGCGCAAAUUACCCGCAUCCUGACUCACGGAGGUAGUGACAAUAAAUAACAAUACAAAGCUCUAUGAGCUUUGUAAUUGGAAUGAGAACAAUGKAAAUACCUUAUCGAGAACCCCUUKGAGGGCAAGUCUGKU
Molecule: ribosomal RNA, 456 nt
Filed under: uncultured heterotrophic nanoflagellate
Lineage: Eukaryota
Description: partial 18S ribosomal RNA
Rfam family: Eukaryotic small subunit ribosomal RNA
Source: RNAcentral